RNAcentral lists this transfer RNA (73 nucleotides) under Planctomycetota bacterium. RNAcentral describes it as "Planctomycetes bacterium (marine metagenome) tRNA-Phe". It matches the Rfam family "tRNA". Rfam says of the family: Transfer RNA (tRNA) molecules are approximately 80 nucleotides in length. Their secondary structure includes four short double-helical elements and three loops (D, anti-codon, and T loops). The record is from RNAcentral. Lineage: Bacteria; Pseudomonadati; Planctomycetota.
GGUCGGGUAGCUCAGCUGGUAGAGCAACGGACUGAAAAUCCGUGUGUCGGCGGUUCAAUCCCGCCCCCGACCA